UACCAGGUGCACUCCCGCCCUAUGCGGAGU
RNAcentral lists this non-coding RNA (30 nucleotides) under Mus musculus (house mouse). Lineage: Eukaryota; Metazoa; Chordata; Mammalia; Rodentia; Muridae. The record is from RNAcentral.